This 646-nucleotide ribosomal RNA is filed under the name uncultured Acidobacteriota bacterium. RNAcentral describes it as "SSU rRNA". It matches the Rfam family "Bacterial small subunit ribosomal RNA", at positions 242 to 904 of the family's 1533-position model. Lineage: Bacteria; Pseudomonadati; Acidobacteriota. The record is from RNAcentral.
CAGUUAGUUGGCGGGGUAAUGGCCCACCAAGACUGUGAUCGGUAUCCGGCCUGAGAGGGCGCACGGACACACUGGAACUGAAACACGGUCCAGACUCCUACGGGAGGCAGCAGUGGGGAAUUUUGCGCAAUGGGGGAAACCCUGACGCAGCAACGCCGCGUGGAGGAUGAAGUCCUUCGGGACGUAAACUCCUUUCGAUCGGGACGAUAAUGACGGUACCGGAAGAAGAAGCCCCGGCUAACUUCGUGCCAGCAGCCGCGGUAAUACGAGGGGGGCGAGCGUUGUUCGGAAUUAUUGGGCGUAAAGGGUGCGUAGGCGGUUUUGUAAGUCUUAUGUGAAAUCUAUGGGCUCAACUCAUAGACUGCAUGAGAAACUGCAGGGCUUGAGUGUGGGAGAGGUGAGUGGAAUUUCCGGUGUAGCGGUGAAAUGCGUAGAUAUCGGAAGGAACACCUGUGGCGAAAGCGGCUCACUGGACCACAACUGACGCUGAUGCACGAAAGCUAGGGGAGCAAACAGGAUUAGAUACCCUGGUAGUCCUAGCCCUAAACGAUGACUGCUUGGUGUGACGGGUACCCAAUCCCGCCGUGCCGUAGCUAACGCGUUAAGCAGUCCGCCUGGGGAGUACGGUCGCAAGGCUGAAACUCAA